AUGUAAAUGAUAAACAUAUUUUAUGUAUAUAUUGCACUGUGGAAUCCCGCAUUUCCAUAUUAAUACAUCAACAUGGAAACUCCAAUAUAUAAAUAGCAUAUGAAUCGUGGAAUCCCUAAAAUGUGUUGUGCAAGAUUCCAUGGGGAAUUUUAGUUGUGUUCUGCUAACCUUCAUGGAGGUUUAAUAUCAAUAUUUAUUAACGAUUGCAAAGGGAGAAAACGCUUUAAAACCGAGUUGAUGUUAAACAAUGAUAGGUAAAACAGUUCCAAUAGAAACAACCGCCUUCCAAGAAGAAUGCACCCUAAACAAUACCCACGCCCAAAUGGAGCUUUAGGCUAGAGAAUUUAAGGAUGUGGACAUAAAGGGCUUCUAAAUGCAAAUAUGUAAAAUUAGAAGAACAAUUAUUAGACCACUAAUUAGGACAAACCAAUUCAGAAAAAAUGAAGGAGUUGAAAAACAAAACUGGGAAGUCUCAACCAGUUCAUUUUUAAGUUGUUAAGUUAACAUCUUUCUGCAGAGUUAGAACAAGUAUGGUAACGUUAUUCCUGACUAGCUAAUCCCUUAUAGUAAAAAAUGCACGCCAUUUAAAACAACAUGAUAGCUCAUUUGAGUACACAAAGGAGUCGUGAAAUUCCUUUGUCGGUAUGAUCUACAUCUCUCGCCAGAGAUUAAAACCUCGACCAGGUACACUGAACAUUACUGCAAGCUGGCCUGCAGUUUUCCAUAAAACCAUAUUCCACCUUUGACAGUCAUUUUAAACAAACCAACAUUUAGUACAAUGUUGGUGGUUACCCUAAAAACAUUUCUGUGAAAUUAUUCAAAAUUUAGACCAAUGGUGUAGGAGACGACAUUUGCAGAUUGUAUAGCUUUGGCAGCUGGCGGCAAUGUUUUUUUGAUACAUCGUUUGUACUCUGAACAUUCUUGAAAUAAUCCGACGUUAAAAUUUAAGGCACCUGGUGGUCAUGUUUUUAUAAUGACUCAGAAUAAUUUGGACAGUCUUAGUAGAAUCAUCCAAAAGCGUUUUGAAAUUAGGACAGCGGAUCCUGACAAGAUUAAAAUUUGAAGCGUGCCAUCCAAGGAUCGUUAGGCGAAAUUAUAUCAAAAUUGGACCAACAGUUUACAAGAUGUUGCUCGAAGAUCUUCUGUCUGUGUCUUCUUUAGAAUUUGAACACACUUUGUAAUGGAUGGAUCAACUUAGGCACAAUUAUGUGAAUAGGUUCUAAACCCAGGCAAGCUGUUUCUAAUAAGAAGAAGUUUCUGAUAUAUACACGUAGAUGAUAACAUUUUUAACAAAUGAAGUUAAUUAAAGCCUUAAUAGAGGGUCACAAAAGAAACAUUUCCAAAGUUAAACUGGUGAUGCCGUUGAAGAUGGUACUAUAUGUAGCUCGGGCGGUCGUGUUUUAACCGAUGUUAGUAAUUUAAACAUUGUCGGCAUAAGAACGUUUGUUAAAAACGAUUAUUAAAUUCAGUCAACAGUU
This is a long non-coding RNA of Mercenaria mercenaria, 1478 nucleotides long. RefSeq lists it as uncharacterized. NCBI's taxonomy places the organism in Eukaryota, Metazoa, Mollusca, Bivalvia, Venerida, Veneridae. The transcript has 2 exons. The record is from RefSeq and is a predicted model, not a curated record.